AGGACGAACGCUGGCGGCGUGCUUAACACAUGCAAGUCGAGCGGAAAGGCCCUUCGGGGUACUCGAGCGGCGAACGGGUGAGUAACACGUGAGUAAUCUGCCCCUAGCUCUGGGAUAGCUCCGGGAAACCGGGAUUAAUACCGGAUAUGACCACUUUAGACAUCUGCUGUGGUGGAAAGAAUUUCGGCUAGGGAUGAGCUCGCGGCCUAUCAGCUUGUUGGUGGGGUAACGGCCUACCAAGGCGACGACGGGUAGCCGGCCUGAGAGGGCGACCGGCCACACUGGGACUGAGACACGGCCCAGACUCCUACGGGAGGCAGCAGUGGGGAAUAUUGCGCAAUGGGCGAAAGCCUGACGCAGCGACGCCGCGUGGGGGAUGAAGGCCUUCGGGUUGUAAACCCCUUUCAGCAGGGACGAAGCGAAAGUGACGGUACCUGCAGAAGAAGCGCCGGCUAACUACGCGCCAGCAGCCGC
This 474-nucleotide ribosomal RNA is filed under the name uncultured bacterium. RNAcentral describes it as "SSU rRNA". It matches the Rfam family "Bacterial small subunit ribosomal RNA", at positions 26 to 518 of the family's 1533-position model. The record is from RNAcentral.